AAACAAGCAUCUUUGUUCACCCUUUCCCUAGGUCUCUCUGAUAGUGCUGGUCAAAGGACUUCACUGAUUAAAACUAGCUAGUUGUAUAAGACACACAUGUUGAAUUCUUGAUUUCAUUGUGAUGUCAUCUCCUGGCUAAAUCUGCAAAAGGCUGGAAUCCUCUGGUCUCAGAAACUGAAAGUCCACUAACAAAUUGGAAAACAUGGUUAUCCGUCUACGAAGAAUCACUCCUGGAUAUAUAAGGUUAUUACAGACCCAAGCUGCUGGGAAGAUAGUCAUCCACGCGGCAGACAAUCUGCUGCAACGGGCAGCCUUGAUCCUGGGCAUGUUUGGAAUCAGUGUGUCCAGCUAUAGCACCCUUCAGAUGACUCAGAAGAAAAGAUUCCCUUUGCUGUUUUAACUUGUGUCAGAAUCGGAAUCACACCGAUGGAGGUGAAAAUACCCAUUCACUGCCACCAACAUCCUGAGGAGGAAAACUGUUCCCAGGCAAAGAGGCCACCAGGAGGUCAGUCUCUUCCUCUCUUAUUGUUGCUGAGCUCAUCAGAAAACUCCAUGUUUCCAACUGUCUCCUUUUCCGCC
Long non-coding RNA from Heteronotia binoei (common prickly gecko), 579 nucleotides. RefSeq lists it as uncharacterized. The transcript has 2 exons. Lineage: Eukaryota; Metazoa; Chordata; Lepidosauria; Squamata; Gekkonidae. The record is from RefSeq and is a predicted model, not a curated record.